Molecule: long non-coding RNA, 643 nt
Organism: Halichondria panicea
Lineage: Eukaryota; Metazoa; Porifera; Demospongiae; Suberitida; Halichondriidae
Exons: 2
Source: RefSeq, a predicted model, not a curated record
CUUUGUGAAUGUUACUGUGGAUGUACAUCAACGAUACACAGUAAUAAACUGUCUAUUUUUCUCGCUUGAAAAUUCCCUUAUUUCUUGCCAUGUGAGGUAUGGACCGGAGUGUGGCAAUUUAUCAUCUAGUAAGGGAGUAUCAGCAAGCAAGGAGUCUGACGAUGUCACAAUUCUUUUGUUCAAUGCUUACUCGCAAUGUUUCGUGGUCACAGCUACUAAUGGAUCAUAUGUUGUUGAAGUUCAUGGUCGUACCAGUGGAUACGCAUCAGCAGAUUCAACCCAGUUCCUCAACAUUAUCGCCAUAGUGAGUGCCGGGACUGCAGUGUCUAUGAUAUCUAUAGCAGUGGUAGUCUUUGGGUGUUGCUUGGUUGCAUGUUACAUAAAAGUCCGAAAAAGUUCCACAAAGGAGGAACACAAUGUUGUAGAGAACGAUCCAACUUAUGAAGAGAUAUCAGCUGUUAGGAUGAGGCCUAGGGCUAGGGGCAGCAUCAGCAUUGAACCGAAUGAAGCAUACCACCGAGUGUCAGUCCAAUUUCAAGCACAUACUUAGUUCAUGACUAUUUAAUUAAAAAACAGGUUGUCACUAUCGAGUCAAGUGUGUAUAUAUACAUGACAUUUUCUAUGUAGAUUCAGAUUCAGUGUG